Molecule: long non-coding RNA, 2670 nt
Filed under: Xyrichtys novacula (pearly razorfish)
Lineage: Eukaryota; Metazoa; Chordata; Actinopteri; Labriformes; Labridae
Source: RNAcentral
ACAGUGAACAAGACAGGAUGAGACAGAAAGAAGCGAAGGCAAGAGGAGGAGGGAGGGGCAGAGAGAAGGAGAGAAGAGGAUGGAAUACAAAAUACCAAGGGCUAAGCAGAGAGAAGAGAAAAGGAGCACAAAUGGAAGAGGAGAAGGUAAUUAAAAUAAUGAGACCACAGCAGAGGGAAUUGGUUGGUGUGGUGCGGUUGGUUGCCUUGUUCCAGCGCUGUGGUUUCUCGUCUUCGGAGUUAUGUGUGUGUGUGUGUUUUCUUGGCUUCACUGGCUUGCAGAGGCAUUCAGCAGCCAGAGGCAGCAAUCAGUUUCUUGUCACUAUUAAGUACAAGCUUUAAUUGAAUUUACAGAAAGUCCCCCGCGCUCAUUUGUUUUCUGUCCCACUUUGCGGUCGCACUUUUGAUGCUUCUACUUUCUUGUGAUGCUAUGCUGCUCUCUUCGUUCGGCUUUCACCAGUGUUAUCAAGCCCUACGGGGAACCACAGGGUAGCUUCACAUUGUCGUGAACCUGCUUCUCAGCGCCACGGCCACAGCAAGAAACAUGCUACAGCGCACUUUCACAUGGAGAAGAAGGGCACUCAUGCAAAGUCAGGGACACACAUUCACAGCGGUUUCCUGCGGGGAAACCAAACCACAGAUAAUCUUUUCUGUCACACUCUGCUCUCAACAUCUCUCCCCCUUUACUCUAUCUACUGUUAUCAUCUCCGCUGCUUCUUUUUCCUCCCCUCGUUUUCUCUCCACCGCUCAAAGGAGACAGCAUCUCAAUAUUCCCCUCAUGUCCCUGCUCCUCCUUCUAAAAAUACUCUCCCCAAAUCAAAUCCAUCAACUUGCCCUCACGCUCCUCCUCCUCUUCUCCGCUCUUGUGUCAGUCAAACCCCCGUAAACUCGACCUCCUGUCAAGCUCUCUCUCCUCCUCCUCUUCUUCUUCUUCUUUUCCACUUUAUGCACGCACUCCCUCACUUCGCUCCCCCGUCAGAAAAAGGCUUCUUUUUUGCGCUUUCUUCCCUCAUGUCCUUGUCAGCUGCAUUCCAGUUUGCUCCCUGCUCCAAAUGACUUCUCCCCCUUCAGGGAUCUCUCGCCGCUUUUCUCCCCCUCCUUUCCACUCUCGCAGUCUCUCGCGUUUGACUCCUCUGUUUCGCUCCGGUUUUCAGGUGGCUCGUCCUCCCAUCGCACCUCCUAUACUGCUCCUCCUCCUCCUCCUCCUGCGCCACAGCUCUGUCCGCGCAGCCGGUGAGCCCGUCACUGAUGAGAGCGCCUGUCUCACUCUGCGCUAACUCGCGAGCUGUCCUUCGCCCCCCUCUGUUUGUCUGCUGCUGCUGCUGCUGAGCCGCGCGGCUUCGGUACAAUGAGAGACUGCUGCGCGCGCCAAUGUGAAGGUUCUGUGUGGAGCUGCGGGAGACAGCCAGACAGGGCUCCCUCCUCACUGCACUCCUCCAGCUGUACGGUCUGGGCUUUUUGACACUCUGAGCUUGGAUUUACGUGCAUGUUACAUAAACAUUAAAACAACAUUUAUGGGACUGUAAUCUGAUUAACGAUCUCCCAAAGCUUCCUUUCUGUUCUCACUGUGGCUGUCAUAAAAAACCCCUCCAUAAAUUAGAUUUAUUGAGGUCUGAGUCCUGAGUUUAGAAAUGAAGCUCAAAAUUAAGUUUACCUUAGAUUAUUGCCACUUUUUAAAUUUUAUUUCCUUUAAAAAAGUAUUUGGCCACCUUUUUUCAACACUGAUUUAUUUAUGAUUAUUUGUGCCAGUUGUCUUUAGAGCAGUAUAAGACUAGUUUCUGACUUGGUGUCAUUUUUUCAUGGCUGAGGAAAGGGACAGAACAUUACUACAUUUUAAAACCUAUCACUGCAUAAACUCAUACCACACUUGUGUUUGAAAAGGUUGGCACUAAAUAUGGAUGUUUUUUUUUUUUUUAAUGGAUUUAAAUAUUUUGUCUUUCUUAUUUCAGGCCAAAUUAAAAAUGCUCAGGAGUUUAUUUCUGUACUUAAAACCAUUUAUUGACCUUGAAAUAUUCCCGGUUGGCUGUAGCUCAACUGCCAAAAACUGUUGACCGAAACAGUCUCUCUAUUUGUCACUUGACUGGGCCCAAGGCCGAGCUAUAUUAAGUGAUUUUGUUUUACAGCUACUGAAAUGUUCUGAGGGUAAUUUAUAAAUAGGUCCAGUUGAAGAGGCACCUCGCUAAUGAAACAUAUCUUAAUAAAUCUUGAUAAAUCUGAUGUUUUUGAUAUGUGCAUAUGUACAAAUUGCGUUGUGGGAGACAUAAAGGGUUUAUAAGUCUAAGUCUUACAGUAUGGCUCAGAUAAAAUGUCAGUUAUUUGAUGGAUUCUGAAAAGGUUUUUGUGCAAGAGGGGGGGACAACCACACUGGCCCGCCAGCUGGUUCUUAUUAUGGAUGGAGCACCUCCACAUGUUGAGAGAAGUGAAGACAAAUAUGGCAAAUACUGUGUUUUAGAAGUGGCAUCGAACCAAAGCAUGCCUAGGAGGAAUCUGGUUUCGGGACCUGCGUGACUUAUACAAGACGCUCUGUUUGUCCUGCAGAGUUCAGAACUGAUCAUGGCCCCAUUAGCUGCUCCUGACAGGUCAGAUGAAAUUCUGGCAUGUCUGAAAAUUUGGUCAGUUGAUCCUCUAACACAGCGGGAACAGAGCUGACUGCACCUGCGUAAAUCAUCAC